AGGGGGUCACCCUCAGCAUUAAUCUUACAGGACGCCGUAGAGCCAGCAGGGUACUCAUAGGUAGCCAUGUUGCCAGAGGGAGGGGGUCACCCAGCCCACAAUGGUGUCACACGUCCAUUAUUAUGGUCCAGUAGCGGGUAGAGCCCCAGAAAUAUGGAUGGGGGGGUUCACCCCCCAAUAAUAACAGGUCUGAAUGUGGGGCCAGUAGCCCCCCUGAGGGGUAGGAGGGUCCAUAUAGCGAGAAGCUGACUCACAGACCACUCAGGUAUUAUAUUAGGAUACACUUUUGAAGUGUAUGUGUAGUGGAAAAUCUAAGUCCCUUGCAGGAAGGGCAGCAAAU
Non-coding RNA from Pelobates cultripes (western spadefoot toad), 340 nucleotides. The record is from the annotation of a GenBank genome assembly. Lineage: Eukaryota; Metazoa; Chordata; Amphibia; Anura; Pelobatidae.